GACUCGUCACACUAUCAUUAACUGAAUCCAUAGGUUAAUGAGGCGAACCGGGGGAACUGAAACAUCUAAGUACCCCGAGGAAAAGAAAUCAACCGAGAUUCCCCCAGUAGCGGCGAGCGAACGGGGAGGAGCCCAGAGCCUGAAUCAGCAUGUGUGUUAGUGGAAGCGUCUGGAAAGGCGCGCGAUACAGGGUGACAGCCCCGUACACAAAAGCGCAUAUGCUGUGAGCUCGAUGAGUAGGGCGGGACACGUGGUAUCCUGUCUGAAUAUGGGGGGACCAUCCUCCAAGGCUAAAUACUCCUGACUGACCGAUAGUGAACCAGUACCGUGAGGGAAAGGCGAAAAGAACCCCGGCGAGGGGAGUGAAAAAGAACCUGAAACCGU
This 384-nucleotide ribosomal RNA is filed under the name Salmonella enterica. RNAcentral's name for it is "partial 23S ribosomal RNA". It matches the Rfam family "Bacterial large subunit ribosomal RNA", at positions 137 to 559 of the family's 2925-position model. Lineage: Bacteria; Pseudomonadati; Pseudomonadota; Gammaproteobacteria; Enterobacterales; Enterobacteriaceae. RNAcentral also lists the same sequence under 1 other name. The record is from RNAcentral.